AAGCGUUUGUGACCAGACUUGGACUUGGUUAAUCAUCUGGGGUUCUCCCCAGUGCACUUCUCCAGUUCAGGCCAGCAUCAGUUUUCGCCGGGGGAUAAAGGCUUUGGGAAUGUGGCUCCCCUCGGGGAGUGUUAUAGCCCAUUGUGUAAUACCCUGGCGGGGACUGAGGUUCGCGCAUCUGCAAGGAUGCUGGCGUAAUGGUCAUCAACGA
RNAcentral lists this ribosomal RNA (211 nucleotides) under Aschersonia sp. RNAcentral's name for it is "partial large subunit ribosomal RNA". Lineage: Eukaryota; Fungi; Ascomycota; Sordariomycetes; Hypocreales; Clavicipitaceae. The record is from RNAcentral.